This 544-nucleotide ribosomal RNA is filed under the name uncultured bacterium. RNAcentral describes it as "bacterial SSU rRNA". It matches the Rfam family "Bacterial small subunit ribosomal RNA", at positions 969 to 1509 of the family's 1533-position model. The record is from RNAcentral.
CCUUACCUGGCCUUGACAUACUAAGAACUUUCCAGAGAUGGAUUGGUGCCUUUCGGGAACUUUAGAUACAGGUGCUGCAUGGCUGUCGUCAGCUCGUGUCGUGAGAUGUUGGGUUAAGUCCCGCAACGAGCGCAACCCUUUUCCUUAUUUGCCAGCGGGUUAAGCCGGGAACUUUUAAGGAUACUGCCAGUGACAAACUGGAGGAAGGCGGGGACGACGUCAAGUCAUCAUGGCCCUUACGGCCAGGGCUACACACGUGCUACAAUGGUCGGUACAAAGGGUUGCUACCUCGCGAGAGGAUGCUAAUCUCAAAAAGCCGAUCGUAGUCCGGAUCGCAGUCUGCAACUCGACUGCGUGAAGUCGGAAUCGCUAGUAAUCGCGGAUCAGAAUGCCGCGGUGAAUACGUUCCCGGGCCUUGUACACACCGCCCGUCACACCAUGGGAGUUUGUUGCACCAGAAGUAGGUAGUCUAACCGCAAGGAGGACGCUUACCACGGUGUGGCCGAUGACUGGGGUGAAGUCGUAACAAGGUAGGCGUAGAUGA